ACUCAAAGGAAUUGACGGGGGCCCGCACAAGCGGAGGAACAUGUGGUUUAAUUCGAUGAUACGCGAGGAACCUUACCUGGGCUUAAAUGUAGAUUGCAUAGGGUAGAGAUAUCCUUUCCCUUCGGGGCUAUUUACAAGGUGCUGCAUGGUUGUCGUCAGCUCGUGCCGUGAGGUGUCGGGUUAAGUCCCAUAACGAGCGCAACCCUUACCGUUAGUUGCCAUCGGGUCAAGCCGGGAACUCUAGCGGGACUGCCACCGUAAGGUGAGAGGAAGGUGGGGAUGACGUCAAAUCAGCACGGCCCUUAUGUCCAGGGCUACACACGUGUUACAAUGGCCGGUACAGAGGGCAGCUACUUAGCGAUAAGAUGCUAAUCCCCAAAGCCGGUCCCAGUUCGGAUUGGAGUCUGCAACCCGACUCCAUGAAGUUGGAUUCGCUAGUAAUCGCGCAUCAGCCAUGGCGCGGUGAAUACGUUCCCGGGCCUUGUACACACCGCCCGU
Molecule: ribosomal RNA, 498 nt
Filed under: uncultured bacterium
Lineage: Bacteria
Description: bacterial SSU rRNA
Rfam family: Bacterial small subunit ribosomal RNA
Source: RNAcentral